UCUGCGGCCUAUCAGGUAGUAGUGGGUGUAGCGUACCUACUAGCCUACGACGGGUACGGGUUGUGAGAGCAAGAGCCCGGAGAUGGAUUCUGAGACACGAAUCCAGGCCCUACGGGGUGCAGCAGGCGCGAAAACUUUACAAUGCUGGCAACAGCGAUAAGGGAACCUCGAGUGCCAGGUUACAAAUCUGGCUGUCGAGAUGCCUAAAAAGCAUUUCAUAGCAAGGGCCGGGCAAGACCGGUGCCAGCCGCCGCGGUAACACCGGCGGCUCGAGUGGUAACCGUUAUUAUUGGGUCUAAAGGGUCUGUAGCCGGCCGGAUAAGUCUCUUGAGAAAUCUGGCAGCUUAACUGUCAGGCUUUCAGGAGAUACUGUCUGGCUCGAGGCCGGGAGAGGUGAGAGGUACUUCAGGGGUAGGGGUGAAAUCUUGUAAUCCUUGAAGGACCACCAGUGGCGAAGGCGUCUCACCAGAACGGACCUGACGGCAAGGGACGAAAGCUAGGGGCACGAACCGGAUUAGAUACCCGGGUAGUCCUAGCCGUAAACGAUACUCGCUAGGUGUCGGCCACGGUGCGACCGUUGUCGGUGCCGUAGGGAAGCCGUGAAGCGAGC
RNAcentral lists this ribosomal RNA (610 nucleotides) under uncultured archaeon. RNAcentral's name for it is "bacterial SSU rRNA". It matches the Rfam family "Archaeal small subunit ribosomal RNA", at positions 214 to 824 of the family's 1478-position model. The record is from RNAcentral.